GCGGGAGUAGCUCAGUUGGUAGAGCGUAACCUUGCCAAGGUUAAGGUCGGGAGUUCGAGACUCCUCUCCCGCUCCA
RNAcentral lists this transfer RNA (76 nucleotides) under Burkholderiales bacterium. RNAcentral describes it as "tRNA-Gly". It matches the Rfam family "tRNA". Rfam says of the family: Transfer RNA (tRNA) molecules are approximately 80 nucleotides in length. Their secondary structure includes four short double-helical elements and three loops (D, anti-codon, and T loops). Lineage: Bacteria; Pseudomonadati; Pseudomonadota; Betaproteobacteria; Burkholderiales. The record is from RNAcentral. RNAcentral also lists the same sequence under 4 other names.